Molecule: long non-coding RNA, 497 nt
Organism: Cygnus olor (mute swan)
Lineage: Eukaryota; Metazoa; Chordata; Aves; Anseriformes; Anatidae
Exons: 3
Source: RefSeq, a predicted model, not a curated record
GGUAAAUAAACUCCUUAGGGCAUUUGUAGUAAGCAUUUUCUCUCAGAGAAUUACCCGGUGAUGGGAGCAGUGACGGGGUAACGGGACUGUAAGUGGAAAGCGCUGACACAAAAUGGCUGCUCAGCCCUGUCAGGAGAAAAUGGCCGCUAGCCUGGGAAAUGCAGGCCUGGGAAGCAGAGGCAUCCUUGGCAUGCGGCUGGACACCUGAGAACCAGAGAUGGCCCGAAGAUAUUACCAAUCAAGACAAAGCAAGAAACCGAGAAACAGCUUAUCACCUGAAGAAGUGGGAAUUGAGACAGGCUUCUAUGGAAUGUCAUGUUAAUUUUGUGACGCUGUGUAUCAAAUCCUAAACUCUGCAACAUGCUUCAACUUCCAGCUUCUCAACUAUUCCUGGCUGUAUCUUGACGCUUACGACUCGAUGCCGUACCAGACUCUGUUAGUGGCAAUUCACAUUUGUCAAAGCAAUGUAACAAGUCUCGUAAUAAAAUUGCCAUGCA